This 103-nucleotide small RNA is filed under the name bovine gut metagenome. Its description in RNAcentral is "RT-5 RNA". It matches the Rfam family "RT-5 RNA". From Rfam's summary of the family: Clostridium (Firmicutes). Environment (Cow rumen (57)) The record is from RNAcentral. RNAcentral also lists the same sequence under 1 other name.
UGCGCCUGUGGCGGAUGCAGCAUGACUCGCGAAAGAAGGCUUUGCAGGCAGCCUGGUCAUGUACCAUCUUGUAUUUCAGCGACUCGCUGAAUCAAAAGCGUUC